CGCAGGAGUGUGUAUGUGGAAAACUAUAAAGAAAGUGAAUGACCGCAGCACAUACGUCAUCUCUCUCUUAAGGUUCGCCCGAAGCUUCGUUGAUAUUUCUUAAUUAAUCAGUAUUAUCUUUAAAUAAUUAGUCGUUAACUUAGUUGGGUUGAGUUUGACCACAACCUAAUUAACAAAAUGGAUUCUGUUUCGUUUUUUUUUCUUUUAGCCAAACACUAAUCUCUCGUUGUCUUCCCAAAUGCUUCUAUU
Arabidopsis thaliana (thale cress) is the source of this 249-nucleotide long non-coding RNA. RefSeq annotates it as other RNA. The record is from RefSeq. The transcript has a single exon. NCBI's taxonomy places the organism in Eukaryota, Viridiplantae, Streptophyta, Magnoliopsida, Brassicales, Brassicaceae.